AACGUAGGACGCGAGCGUUAUCCGGAGUUACUGGGCGUAAAGGGCGGGUAGGCGGCUCAUCAAGUUGGUUGUGAAAUCUCCCGGCUAAACUGGGAGGGUGCAAUCGAAACUGAUGGGCUAGAGGACAGCAGAGGGCCGUGGAAUUCCGGGUGGAGUGGUGAAAUGCGUAGAGAUCCGGAGGAACACCAGAGGCGAAAGCGGCGGCCUGGGCUGUGACUGACGCUGAACCGCGAAAGCCAGGGGAGCGAACGGG
This 253-nucleotide ribosomal RNA is filed under the name uncultured bacterium. Its description in RNAcentral is "partial 16S ribosomal RNA". It matches the Rfam family "Bacterial small subunit ribosomal RNA", at positions 524 to 776 of the family's 1533-position model. The record is from RNAcentral.